ACUGCUCAGUAACACGUGGAUAACCUGCCCAAGGGUCUGGGAUAACCCCGGGAAACUGGGGAUAAUACCGGAUGGAUCACUAGUGCUGGAAUGCUUGGUGGUCGAAAGGCAACGCCUUUGGAUGGGUCUGCGGCGGAUUAGGUUGACGCCGGUGUAACGUACCGGCGUGCCUGUAAUCCGUACGGGUUGUGGGAGCAAGAGCCCGGAGAUGGAUUCUGAGACACGAAUCCAGGCCCUACGGGGCGCAGCAGGCGCGAAAACUCUACAAUGCAGGCAACUGCGAUAGGGGGACAUCGAGUGGCAUCCACCUUGGGUGCCUGUCCAACCGUCUAAAAAACGGUUGUUAGCAAGGGCCGGGUAAGACCGGUGCCAGCCGCCGCGGCAAUACCGGCGGCUCGAGUGGUGGCCGAUAUUAUUGAGUCUAAAGGGUCCGUAGCCGGCUUUGCAAGUCCCCUGGGAAAUCCAGCGGCUUAACCGUUGGGCUUUCAUGGGAUACUACAUUGCUUGGGACUGGGAGAGGUAGGAGGUACUCGGGGGGUAGGGGUGAAAUCCUGUAAUCCUCCGGGGACCACCGGUGGCGAAGGCGUCCUACCAGAACAGGUCCGACGGUGAGGGACGAAAGCUAGGGGCACGAACCGGAUUAGAUACCCGGGUAGUCCUAGCCGUAAACGAUGCCCGCUAGGUGUCACGACGGUCGUGAAUCGUCGUGGUGCCGUAGGGAAGCCGCGAAGCGGGCCACUUGGGAAGUACGGCCGCAAGGCUGAAACUUAAAGGAAUUGGCGGGGGAGCAC
Molecule: ribosomal RNA, 791 nt
Filed under: uncultured archaeon
Lineage: Archaea
Description: bacterial SSU rRNA
Rfam family: Archaeal small subunit ribosomal RNA
Source: RNAcentral